AACUGAAAUAAAUUAUUUUAAAAAAAUAUCAAAACUAUCUGAUCUCCAAAAUAAACUAUAGUAAACAUUGAGAAAUCCUUCCAAAUCUACUAAGGGUAUUUCAUAUUUUGCCAUUUGUUUGGAUAAAGACCUUAGAAUCACAUACGAUUGACACUACAAUUUCAUAUUGAUCUUGCAGUAGGCAUGGAUGUAAAUUUUCCGUAUCUUCAAUAGUAGAUCAAGGUUCACAUCCAUCUCCUAAAUUUUUUUGGAUUUGGAUUUCUUAGUUUGAGGAAGAUGCAGGGUUAAAAUAUGAGCUCAAGUCCUACCAUAAUUUGCUCUCUUUGCAGUUGUCUUUCACAAGUCUACGAUCCUAAAUUUUACCAAUAGUCUUGCUUUUGUGUAUGUGUGAUUUCAUUAGUAUAAGCAUGCAAGACAAGGUCAAGGUGCUGUAUUUUAAUAGUAGUCUCUAAAAUGAAAGGCCAAUAUGAAUAGAGGGUUUCGUGGAUUAACAAUUCAAAGACUAGAGAAGCCAUGUAUUAAGUGCUCUACUUGAUCCUAUAAGCAUACUUUGAUCUUGCUAAGAAUUUCUUAUUGCUUGUUUCAUCUACUCUGGAUUACUGUUGCAUGAUGCUGCAACCUCACUGUUUUUUUAAAUUAUGUCACCCUUGUAAAAUGUAUCUUGAUAGCUCUUGACAUAAAUAUCUCACAUAACCUCAAAACCAGUCCCUUGAUCAUCCUAUUCCAAUCCAGAGUCUAUAUCACUUCAUGCCUCUAUUAUUUGUCCAGUUUUAGAGUCUCCCUAUUCUUGCCUUGAUAGCAAGGGGAACAUAUCAUUUUAACCAUGCAAAAGAAUGAUUACUGGCCUAGAAGCUUCAAUGCAGUGAUCUUAUCUACACACUUCAUUGAUGUAAAAAUAAAUUCAAAGGCUUUUUCUUAUUGUUUUGUUAAAAUUUUCAUGGCCCUUUGAAUCCUGCAGAAGCAAGCCAAAGAACUGGAAGCAGAAUGGGGCUCAAUUGUAAUUGAAGAAGAGGAGACUGUGAAAGACUAUUAUGAUUUCCUGCAAUAGUGUAGAAGUCUAAAGGAAGAUGUCCAUGACAUUACCUGGGGCGUUAUAAUUAAUUUUGAAAGGGUGAUAGGCACAGCUGAUGAUAAAAGACCUGAAGAUGCAGAAUACAAUGAUAAUAUUCUAACAAAGUGUGUUCUGGAUAAGAGUGUUGGUGCACAGAAAUCAGCAAGAUUAGAGGAGAUGCGAGGAACUUGAAGCAGAUGGGGCUAAUUAGUUGCUAACCACCACCACAUCCUAGAAGUGCUAGAUAGUGAACACUAUUUAGAGGUUGUUGCUUUGGUGCUAUAAUUUGGAGAACUUUCAACUCUAGGCUGUCAAGAUUUGUUGAUCAAAGCCAUUGAAGCUCAGGCUUUAGACGAUCAUCGAGUGUCUGAAACUGUCUUGCACUGGCGAGCUCCCCCCGUCACCUCCAGGUCCAGCCAAAGCUUCAUUCAUGAUCCCAAGUGCUCCUGUAAGAAGGUAAUGAAUGCCUUUGCGCAAGCAGGAUGUAUUGGAGAGGUUGAAAGGAUACUUGGAGAGAAAACAGACUCUUUUGUUCCUCAAGACAAGCAGUUGAGGGAGAUGAUCACUUGGCAAAAUUAUUCAACAGCUGUGGUCUGGGUAUUUUCUAUGAAUCUUCAUAGUAAUAUCUGAAAAAUCCUUGCAAUUGAACCAUGCUCUUAAGAUGGUAUUAUUGUUAAUAUUGUUAUUGGUUAGCAUCCUAACUUUGUAAACUAAGAGUUUCUUUUAAAGGGCUUACUUAUACUGUGAUUAUUCUCUAAGAUAAUUCACAUUGUGAUCAAUGACAUUACAUAUUACAUUUGUUCAAAAAAUUUACCAUUUGUAAGACGACUUUUCUUUCUCUGUAUUUAUGUGAAUGAAUAUGUAGGUUGACAAGAGUAGGCAUUUGUACACAACACUGGCAUACUAAAUACUCUGAGUAUAUUAGUUUCUACUCAUGCUACUGAUGAUUAUUAGGGAAUUGGCUUUCAAAGCAAUUUCAAAUGAAUCACUGGAGGGUUAAAUCAAGUUUGGUUUUGUGCUGUUUUUAUAUUUUUUUUCAAAUUUUUAAGUACAUUAUUUGCUAAAUUAUUUGUAUGUUACUUAG
Long non-coding RNA from Dioscorea cayenensis subsp. rotundata (Guinea yam), 2135 nucleotides. RefSeq lists it as uncharacterized. Lineage: Eukaryota; Viridiplantae; Streptophyta; Magnoliopsida; Dioscoreales; Dioscoreaceae. The transcript has 7 exons. The record is from RefSeq and is a predicted model, not a curated record.